This 586-nucleotide ribosomal RNA is filed under the name uncultured bacterium. RNAcentral describes it as "bacterial SSU rRNA". It matches the Rfam family "Bacterial small subunit ribosomal RNA", at positions 338 to 916 of the family's 1533-position model. The record is from RNAcentral.
CCUACGGGAGGCAGCAGUGGGGAAUUUUGGACAAUGGGCGAAAGCCUGAUCCAGCAAUGCCGCGUGAGUGAAGAAGGCCUUCGGGUUGUAAAGCUCUUUUGUCAGGGAAGAAACGGUGAGGGCUAAUAUCCCUUGCUAAUGACGGUACCUGAAGAAUAAGCACCGGCUAACUACGUGCCAGCAGCCGCGGUAAUACGUAGGGUGCAAGCGUUAAUCGGAAUUACUGGGCGUAAAGCGUGCGCAGGCGGUUUUGUAAGUCUGUCGUGAAAUCCCCGGGCUCAACCUGGGAAUUGCGAUGGAGACUGCAAGGCUAGAAUCUGGCAGAGGGGGGUAGAAUUCCACGUGUAGCAGUGAAAUGCGUAGAGAUGUGGAGGAACACCGAUGGCGAAGGCAGCCCCCUGGGUCAAGAUUGACGCUCAUGCACGAAAGCGUGGGGAGCAAACAGGAUUAGAUACCCUGGUAGUCCACGCCCUAAACGAUGUCUACUAGUUGUCGGGUUUUAAUUAACUUGGUAACGCAGCUAACGCGUGAAGUAGACCGCCUGGGGAGUACGGUCGCAAGAUUAAAACNCAAAUGAAAUUGACGG